GGCCUGUGCUGGACUCGUUUUUGUCUACCUGAGUCAUUUGAGCAGGGCAUUCUCGCUGGCUUAGCUUUGUUGUGGCUAGAAUUUGGAACCGGUCCCCUGGCUCCGUCCCCACGGUCUCUGCUUCUGAAGCACAGCGUGGGUUUGUAGGGUCAUGGACUGGGGCUCACGGCAACCAAGGAUAGACUGUUCCUUCUCUGGGCCACAGGCUUCCCCAGGAAGGAGCCUUUGGCCAAGUGUCUUUUGUGUCUCCAGAGCCAAGUGUAGCCGCUGGCAACUAGCAGGUUCUCGCAAAUAAAUGACAGAGUACAGGGACACAUUCUGGGAAACACGGGGGGGGGGGCGCUCUUUGGGGUGGCAGCAUGUUCAGUAGCACAGCACUGUGUUGCCUUCUUCAGUUUGUGGGGCGCUAAGGAUAAUUUGCGUUUCCUGGCAUAAGGUGUCUGCUGCCGAUUGCACAGGAGAAAGUGCUAUGGUGUGUGUGGGGGAUCAGGCUGUCUGAGGCCGACUGAGGGCUCCAGAAAAACAGUGAAGUGGAGGCAUUCAUCCUAGGGGAGGCUGCAGAAUACUCGAUGCGCGGGAGGAGGGGGGGAAACACGUUCUGAGUCUCCGAGGAAAGAAAAGACCACCUUGGGAAACAAGGGCUGCAGAUGGCAGGGGUCUCGGGAUUCUCAGUUCAGGUUUCAACUCCCACACGUUCCCCUGCCUUUCCACUAGGGGGCAGACAGAGGCUGGAGAACAUACCGGCCAGGAGGCCAGUCCCUCACCCGCAGAACCAGUCUCACAUCAACACACUAGGCUGUUUGUGCUCUGCAGAAGGCAAAUCUAGGCCUCUCUUCCGGCCGGCCACAGCAUCAGUGAUAUUGCAUGGUUUGCCUGUGACAUCAGACACUGCACAAAUAUGAUAACCAAAUUGCACGGUUUGGAGCGAAUGGGUUAGUAAACAGAAAAAAAAAAAGGAAGGAAGAAAAAAAGAAGAGGAUUUUUUUGUUGCCGUUGUUUGACACGUGGGGUUGGGGGGAACCAUGCCUCCUGCAUCCUUCAUUAUCCUGUGCUUUAGAAAGUCAUUUCCUCCUAAGACAUCCCAGGCAAUGGGGCCCCUUAAUUGGCUUAAUUUUUAUUCUUAAUCCUCAAGGGUCGUGGAAAAACAGCACAGCCCUUCCUGUUCCUAUUAUCCCCUCGUAAAUUAUUGGGCGCAUAGACUUAGCUCUAAAGCAAACUGCACUGAGCCUAGAGGAAGAAGGAACAUUUUUCCAGGCCAGAUCGCAGAGACGGAGAUCACCACAGACAUGAGUCACUCCUAUAAAACCAGAGGAUUUAAAAGCGGCUCUCCUGCUUGCUGAGGGUGUCGGCUCGGGAAUCUUUGCUCCGUGCUUGCUAACAUUAAUAGAAAUGCCUGUCAAAACACUACUCGUCCAUAUCACGUUUCCAGCUCUGCCUAGCCGCCGCUGCCCAUCUCGGAUGGUCAAGCACCUUUUGUCACUGGAAAUGACACAGAGGGGAUGGAUGCCCAGUGGACUUCAGACUAGUCAAAGGAAUCACUAGGGCUGACGUCAUCAUCAUCAUCAUCAUCAUCAUCAUCAUCUACUAGGCUGGCCUCAGACUUGCUAUAGCUACAGCCACAGCUCCUUGCUGGGCCUCCCCCACAGUGACUUGACCACAGGGCCACCCCUGGAGUCCUCCACGAACCACCCCUUCUUUAGAGCCAUUGAUUGGAGCGGCAGCUGACAGAUACCUCUACUCUGCAGAAAGUGUUUUGAUAGGAGAGCGCCGCAGUAAUGGACUUGAGUUGUUUGGAUUGCGUGGAUCUUAAAAAUAGCACUGAAAUUGUCGUACUUGCACCAAAUGCUACACUGAGAAUCCCAGCUCCCAGUCGGCCAUGGAAUCCCCACAGUGAAAAACUCAUGCCUUACAGUGGACAGUGAUGGACAGCCAAAUGUGGUAUCUGUUGACAGGUAACUUGCUUCGGAGCCAGCAGCAGGAGGUGGAGUGGGACUUUGUGAGUUGGUUUCGUUUGACGGGAGCUGUCAUCGCAUGGGCGAGAAGGCCAAGCAUUCCGGCCUCUGCUCUGACGUCAGCCCGGGCUCUGUUGGAAGAAGUACUUCCCGAGUCGGCUUUGUUCUUCUCAGUGCAAGUCCACAAAACAGGCGUCGAGGGAGACUUGGAACCUGGCCAGGAGCCACGUCAGGCGGUCACCGACAGCCACCUGAGUCCCUCUCCCCCAGCCCUUGUUUUUCAGGUGGGUUGCAAUACAAUGACUUCAUGGAAUAGCUGGAGUUUAAAGAGGACCCCCUUAGGCUGGAGUUACUGUUAGAACAGGCUCCAAGAGGAGAGGGUCUGUGAAGCCUGACAUUUUCAUGAAGCACCUGUAAUGUGUUUAUGUGCGUCCUCUUGAGGAGGGGCUAGGCCCGGCCCAAUGCUGUAAUUUUUAAAGAAUGUUGGCACCUUUUACAGGUUAAGAAUCACCGCUGGGGACCAUUCCCACUGAGGUAACGGUACUGAGUGGGCACACUGUGGAAAACACUGCAAAAAAAGAUGUUCAACGGUCUGUCGUUGACCUGGGCGACUCUGGUAUUAACCACAGGCAUGCGUGCACAGCCUGUAGAAAAGCAAGCCACGCGCAUGCGUGCACAGCCUGUAGAAAAGCAAGCCACGCGCAUGCGUGCACAGCCUGUAGAAAGCAAGCCACGCGCAUGCGUGCACAGCCUGUAGAAAAGGAAGCCACGCGCAUGCGUGCAGUCUGUAGCAAAAAGCAAGCCCCGCGCAUGCGUGCACAGCCUGUAGAAAAGCAAGCCCCGCGCAUGUGUGCACAGUCUGUAGACAAGCAAGCCACGCAGAAUUUUAAAAACACAAAGCUUUCUGGAGAUUUUUGUUUCUUUAGAGAAGAAACCCACAGCUGUCCUAAUUCCAUUCAUCAACAUCGUCCUGCUAGUCACCAGCCCAAGGCUUAUGCUGCCCUUGAUCUCAUCCUGUUAAACAGUCACCUGCUUAGGUGACAGAAGAUGGCGACAGGCUUGUCCCUCUCCGGAGCCAACGGCAAGCUUUCUGUUAUGCGGCCUGUGUUUGGUGUCCGGUGCCCGAGGAAACCUCAAACAAAUCCUCACUGGUAUCAUUGUCAGCUCACAAAACCGCGCUGACUGCACUGCGAUGCACACGGAUCACUGAUGUGGUGUCCCUUUGGUCACACGCCAUCAUUACGGAGCCCCACGGGGGAUGUCCGAAACGGACUGGGGAGGAAGCUGUCAAAAGCGAUCCAAAGGGCGGUGGAGGAAAAUGAUGGCGCUCGCGUGAUAGAAUGAGCAGCGCUCUUCAAAAUUCUCCUGUUCUAAUUAUAGAAAUGCCCCCCCUUUUUUUUGUCCCUUUGCCCGGUAUGGCUUUACGUGAUACUCCCCAGAGGGUGUGAUGGGAAAGAGGGAAUGAAGAGCAGGGUGAGCAACGGAGAGAGAAGAUGAACUGAUAUCUGAGGCCCUUACCUGUGACCCGCAGUUUCUGAAGGAAGGAAGGCAGGCAGAGAUAGCACAAGCAUGCUGGUCCUAUGUCUGCCCUCGGCUACUUAAGACACACCCGCCUUGCAGUUUUCGCUCCUGGUUGUCAGUUGGUCGUUUCACAUCCUCCCAUUCUCAAACCAGCCUCUUCCCUGCCCCUUCAGUCUUUCGCUUUUGGCAUGUAGGGAAUGGGAACCACUUUUGGGGUCUAACUCAUUUUAUCGCCGACACACCCCAUACAACAAUGCUUGACAUUGUGUGUUUGCACACAGCACCCUCCCUCUAUGAAGGAGACCAAUGCUAAACUUCUUUAUGUGAAAUCAUCUAUGAAAGAUUAGUUUUUGCUGCAGUUGCACCUGGGGAGAAUUUCUAUCCAGUCUGAGAGAGGCUUCACCCAUUCUCAGCUCUAUAAAGCCCUUAAGAUUUUUUUUUAUCUCUCCUGAAUUGUCCAAAGGUGAGAGACUCAAUCCACCAACAGUAAUUGUUUUUUUUUUCUAUGAAGACAAAUAUCCCCUUAGAUGCUAUCCUUCACAAAGCAGCGAUCCAUUUAAAGAAGCGAAAACAAACCUUGGGACCGGAGAUGCUCCAGGGUCGCUGGUGUUCACUCAUUUGUCAGAAUGACUGCAUUGCAGGCUCUAGAAGCCAAGAGUGAUCAUGAGAGACGAUGACUGAAGACACUUUCAAAUGUUACAAAAAAAAAAGAUAGUCACGUGAACUUGGUAAACUCAGGGUUUCAUUCCUUUUAAAUUGCUCAGAGGUUGAGAAAGGCCCAACAAAUCAACAGAUGUGGGGAGCUCUGAGCUGUUCCCUUAAAAUGUAGUUGCUUCAGUGUUGGGCAUGAAGCACACUUCGCCCUGUGCUAGCCAGGGAUGUCGGUAUGCUCAAUAUCAACAGCCUAAGCUUCAAAGGACAACUCACGUCAUGACACAAUAAUCCUCAGCACGUGACACGACAGGCCUCUUGCCUAAUUGCCGCACGGUGAUAAAGAUCAAAAUAUUAUUGAUCUACAGAUGACAAAAAAUGAAUACUUUAUCUCCAAGCUGAACAAAAGAUAGGUCAGUCUUCUCAACAAACUUGCCUAUACUCACACUGUCACUUCAAGGUGUGUUUCUGUACAAGACCGAUGUCCAAUUUCCCUUCAGUGGGAAAUACAGGUGCCACAAUACUCCAGAAGAAGCCACACUGAUAUACCCAACCCAGUUUGCUGGUUCCAUUCCCAGGUCUUGGUGAGGUCCUUGAAGGAAAAAGAAAAGGGGCAGCUCAUGCCCUUGGUUAUGGUGCUAGUAGAUGACGCUGCCCUUGAAGAAUGUGACACAAUCCCAUUUGAGAAUUGGUGAGAUAACCUAGCCUGCACUGGCUUUAUUUGAAAAAUCAAAAGAGAAUUUUAAUUAAAACUUCCACAAAUGUUUGCACGAUUAACUGGGUGAAUGCAAAUCUUUUCCGGAAAAAACACGAUCUCAGUUGGGUUCUCCCAUCCAUAAAAAUCCAAGAACACAAGUUCACAUUUAAACAUUCCUAAGCCGGGCAGUGGUGACACAGGCCUUUAAUCCCAGCACUUGGGAGGCAGAGGCAGGCAAAUCUCUGAGUUUGAAGCCAACCUGGUCUACAGAGCAAGUUACAGAAAAGCCAAGGAUACACAGAGAUAGUCUACCUAGAAAAAAACAAAACAAAAAACAGCAAAAGCACCCCUCCCCACCCGUACUCUCCGUUAAGUAAAGCAUCAGGGUUAAAACUCCAUAGAAACAGGUCUCAAAGCUGCACCUUGAGAGACAUCAAUCACAGGAUACGAAAUAAGCAAGUUUGGUGUUUUGUUUUGUUUUCCUUUUUGAGGCUGGGGCUAGUGUUUCUGUGGCACACCCAGAGCCGAAAAGCACAGUCUGGCACCAGCUAACUUCUGAUUGGCUCCUUGCCACGAGGAGGGCAUCUGACCUCUUAGUGACCAGGACAGGAGCCGCAAGGCCAUGCGAGCACGUGUUAGACUGUCAUGGCUGCUAAAACGGGGAGGCUGGUCACUACAUGACUGGUUGCUCCCAUAACAUCUGCGCCACUACUGCAUUCUUGGGCACGCCCUUCCACGCUGCUCAUCAUCUUAUCUCAUGGGCAGGUUAAGACUGUUGAUGACCGACUUCUCCUGUAGCACCCUCCACAGCUCUUACCGUUAAUAUGAUAGCUCUCGAGUGUGGAGAGCUGCGCCACACCGCACCUUAAAGAUGGCACCGGCUUCUGCCUUCCACCAUCCCGACGGUGAGUGCUCUCGGUAACAAACAACUCCUUAUUUGGCGUGCUUCUAUCCUGCCAGGGUCAUGCAAUGAUCAUCAGCUUGCUUACACGCGCUGUUGCACCAAUGGCUUAUGCAUACGUGGCCGUUCAGGGUUGGCUGGCCUCGGCUAUUUAGGGAGCAGGAGGGGUUUCUCCCGCGGCUGCCUUUCCACUGUUCAUCAAGGUCCUGAAUAAACUGUCUGCAAGAAGUGUUCCUGAGUCGCAUCUUCCUUGCUGGUCGAGGUGGUCGGGACAACUGGUGGCCCGUACGGGGACGCUCGUACGAAGAAGAUCCUAUGGAACUCAGAACUUGCAGCGGUCAGGGGGUACACCGGUAAGUCCCCAAGUAAGGCAGGGGCCCGCGUUAAGAGCGGGAUUUUAUUGUUCUCGCCCGUGACACUCGAGAAGGGAGAUACAUUCUAACUCGGUUCCAGCUUGGUUUCUCUGUAUCCUGUGACUGUGCGUGGUGUCUUCAGCAACAAAGUCUUGCCGUCAAUUUUUGGUAGGCGACCAGAAACAAUGGCCAUUCUGUGUAUUACUUUGGGGGGGAGGGGAGGUCUCUGUAUGCUCUCAAAGGGAGGUGUUACACACCUGGUGCUAAGAUGUUUGCCGAAAAAACUCAUGGCUUCUGGGAGAAACAUUAUCUCCCGGUGUAGGAGCAUUAUUCAGAAAUAAGUAUGAAAGCACGUGACCUAAAGGUUUGAUGUAGGAAAUCAUUUUUUUAAAUGUACUAUAAAGACUACAAUAUUUCAUUGUUAUAGGAUAUAAAUUACUUUCUAUAGGACCCCCUAAAGGAUUUUUAAGAUCUUUUCCAGGUCUGUCUACACACUCUCUUCUGCUCCAUGGAUGCAUUCUCCAUACAUUUGAAGCUGGCUUUAUUGCCUCUUGUUGAAUGUUUGUCUUCAGGUUUUAGAUGGUGAAUGGAAGGCAGCUGCUGCCCCUAGACCUGUUAGCCAGAUGUCACACCAUCUACACUGGAAAUCCAAUUCUGCUUUAAACUUGGAGAACAAAGGAGGGACAUGGCCUGAAGCCCAUGGAGACGGGCCCUUCCACCGGCUGCUUUCACACCGGAGAGACACACAUCUUAAUAAAAAUUACUAAUAGUUCAUAAAGAUUUUGGGGCUGAGGUGCAGUCAGUGUGUGAACACUCAGUUGGGUAUAUGUCCUUAGACCCAGGGAGGGAUGUCUUGUCCCGUGCCCUAGCAACAGCAUGUUCUCUUAGUUCCCAGGAGGGUAGGGACAGUUGCAAGAGCCCUAGGUAUCUAAGGACCAUGGGCAAUUAAGAGUGUGUCUGUGAAGUCAAAGUCAGGAUAUUUAGAAUAUCAGAGCUGAGAAAUAUAGAGUACACACAAGCACCACUGAAAUGCAUCAGGCAUUUGAAACAUUAAAUUAGAAAUGGUUAAUUGCUACGGGAUUAGCUCAGUGGCAAAGCACUUCACCAGCAGGUCCAAUCCUUGAUAGCAGAAAAAAAAUAUAUAUAUGGUUAGAUAACCAGUUUUAAAGGCCUUCGAACUAUCCCUAAAUCGUUAAGUGCAACAGUCAAACCCAUAACAUUUCUGCUCUGUGGACUACAUUCGGGGCCUAGGUGGAAAAGACAGUUUCUUUUGCAUCAAGGUGAUUUGUAAAAGUAAGAAUUUAAUGACAGGAACUAUUGUUGGCUUAGAACACACACACUGUGUAGGCCACAAGGAAUUUCAGGCUCUCUGCCCUCAAAUCCAAUUUGCAUGGCUGUACUCCUGUCCCUGCUACAAGCGGCUGUAUAUCCAACUUCCUUGAGAGGUCUUAAGACUCUGUGAGUCCCGGGCUUGGUUGGCUGCAGGGUCUCCCUGGCUAAAAACAUUACCAGCGGCUCCACAGAGAUGUGUUUACAGAAAAAGCACAGGGACAGUAUAAUUACUUCCUUUCAUUGCUUCUUUGGCUAUUUACGAUUCUAGGUUCGAUGAGACAGGGAAAACUUUCAGGGGCCUCUGGCACUCCUGAAUGGUAGUAGGUUGAGGGAAGGCAGAACAGCCUCCAUACUGGAUUUUGGGUCUGGAGAGGGGGACCCUAAUUAGAUCUAACGUUGGGUACAAAUAGGAUCCUAACUGGGCCAGCAAUCUUGAGCUCACAGUGUGUACACAUGCAGAACUUCUGGUAUUUCUCCAUAUGGACAUACAGUGUAGACAUCUGACAUUUUUGGUCUAUGCUGGAAUUUUCUGAGUUCACAUUCAAGGUACAGUACAGUGAUGGGAACAAAACACUUCUGGACACUGAUGAUUUUCUUCCCUUACGUCCUGUGCCAAAGUGUACGCUUGAGGCAGUUUUAUUAAAGCAAGGCAGAAGUGACUAAGUAAGAAAAGCUCAAAUUGUCUCCUCCCAAAAUGCACUUUUACAAGGACUCUUCUACUUGGUGAUUGUGCCUAGGAUACAAAUUAGCUACAAAGGAUCUUUAAAUAACCGAUGUAGUAGACAUCAGUAUCACCAAUUCUUUUAAGUGUAGCUCAAAUUUGUAGUUUAUCAACCUUUAUUGAUAUUUAGUAUGUUAUAGAUAUGCCAGAGAAAAGUUUUUUAAAAUGUUGAAUCAUUUUGCCAGUUUGUAGGACAUAAAUAAUUCUCAGCAGGAUUGUACGUACAUACAUGUAAUCCCAGGCUGAGGCAGGAAGAUCAUGAGUUCAAGGCCAGCCUGGGCGACACAGCAGGACCUGUCUCAAAGUAACCAGCAUCCUAUGCACAGGCCAGUAAUCGUUACAUUUUUCCUGUGCAUGCCUUCCUUCCUUUCCCAUCCUGUUCUUCUUCUUACAUCAUUAUAGGCUUUGUGAGACUCAUAGCUCAAACUGGCCAGUAACUCGUUAGGUAGUCCAGGCUGGCCUUGAACUCACCGUCCUCCUGCUCGGCUUCUCAGCUGCUGGGAUUACAGGCAUGGUUACUAGUCCUAGGCAUAUUUUAAUUUUCCAUUAAACACAAAGAAAAAGGGAUAUGAUCCAAUGAUCCAGCACACCAGGAAAGCACUAUCAGGGCAGUGUGUAAGCCUGAGGACCAAAGUCCAUGGCGGAAACAGAGAACUGGAUCCCAAAAGCUGUCUUCUGGCCUCUGCUCGCACGCCGUGGCACUUGCACACUCACGCACGCCAUCAAACAGCUGCACACACUAAAUACAAACAGAAAUGCGUUAUUAAUAAAAUUUAAUUUUGUGUUUUAGAAUUAUUCAUUAAAACACGUGCUUAUGCCACCUUAAGGGUGACACAGCAAUAAUAGCUACUAUAGCAGCUCAAACCAGAAAAGCUACACAAAGUUAUACACGUAUUUAUAGUAACUUAACGUGGUAGUUCAAGAAAGGUUUUACAGUCAUACAAAGUAAUCCUAAAGUUAAAAAUUUUUACAAGUGCCAAUAUUUGUAACAUUCUGGUUAUUUUUAAAACACCCAGAACAUCUACUUAAACUUCUAAUUAUUUAAGAUUCCAACCUAAAUACGUGCAAGAGAUACAUAGUUUUUCCCCCUUUUUAAUUUAGAGAACAUCAGUAAAAGUUAUGAGUGGGCCUGCAGGGAACAUGGGGAUUAGGCAUAUGCCCAGGGCUGUUAAAGUGGUGGAUUUUUUUUCUCUAACUCACCAAAAGUACAUGUCUCAGUUUCUAUAUUAAGUAUUGUAUACUACUCGGAAAAAGAAAAUGAUUCCAGCUUCGAGCCUUGCAACCCGGGCUUAGACCUCAAAUAUAUUACUUUAAAGUCUGCUAACAGUGAGUGGAAAGUUGGCUUCUCCGGGUUUUCAGUAACCCUGCUUUCAAUCAGCGGAAAGAAGUCACUUGAGUCUUGGCAGUGACCUUAAUUCCCUAGAAAUUUAAGGCUUUGGAUAGAAAAUUACUAUUGGAGAACUCAUUUGCCUCAAGAAGACAGAAGACAGGGAGAUCUCUCUAGAUUAAUGUGCUAGGCAGAAUCUAGCUCACUUGGGAGAUAGAGACAGCACGGGCAGCCAGGCAGGGCCAGAUGCUCACAUCUUCAGCAAAUAAAUCUACUGCCAGCCUUAACCCUCCUCGCACCAAUACCUUUAUAAAAGCAUCCAAAUGCUUCCGCAUCCUAAGUUACACAGGUCUAGUUGUUGGGCUUGAGUUGCUCGACUAUGAGAAUUGCUUUUAGUUUUACCUAUACAAGUAUCAACACUAAGCAUGCCAGUAGGGAGGUACUAAACUUUUAAAACGGCAGGUGGAAGUCAGUCUGUCUCAUUGGUUUUAGACUGACUGACUGAUUGACUGAGAGGCUCUGUGCGUGCAGCCUUGGCUGGCUUUGAACUUGGAGUGAUUCUCUUGCCUCUACCUCCCAGAGGCUGUAAUCAUAGGUGCGUGCUAGCAUGCCUGGCUUCUUUCCCUCUUUUCUGGACUGGAGAUGAGGCUCAGCGGAAUAGCUGUGAAGAAGGGCGCAGGAAAAGAACGAGUCUCCAGUCGUUCCCGGGGAGACCUCGCACAACGGUGUUUAAAGAACCCCGCUGCCCGGGCAGUAUCAGGAAAUGAUCUCGUGACCCUCACAGGCAAGUGCGUUUGACACCCUCUUUGUUAAAUGGAUUUGUGAGACUGUGAUUCUGAACUGAAUUCCAUUUAGGCAGUGUUAAUUCUGCCUUUAAAACAUAUUAAUCCAGGUGAAGUGCCACGAUUUAGUUGUCUAUUUAGGCGAUUCAGAACGACUUCCCGGAGGAAUAAUUUUUACUGGGUCUAUUUUGUCACCUGGGAAAGUUUCCCAGGUAUUUUGGUAUUUCACGAGUCUCUGAGGACAAUGGGUGUCACCAUUACAAUAAUAAGCAGAAAUUCAAAUAUAUGCUACUAUGACAUUAAAGUUUAUGGUUAUUCAGUGAGUUGCCAGUGAUCAAAACCAAAAUGUCUGCAUGGUCGGGUGGGGGGGGGUGUCCUCAUCUCCAGCUGUUUUUAGGCUCAGAGCUGUGGGUGUUGAUGUAUUUUAGAGUUUUAGGAAAGAAUAUUGAUUUUCUUUACUAGAUUUCCUGGAGAGUUAUGGAUUCACAAUCAAUGCCCACAUAGAAGAACCUUAAUGCGCUGGAAAUGGGUGCAUGGUUGGGGGAUUGUCCUCACCGCACCACUGUCUUCACUUAGUCAGGAGGGACUAAAUACAGCAAGGCUGUUUUGUCUAUCUUGUGCAUCACUCCAGAUUCCCCCGUUUAUCUGUGCCUUCAUUCUUUGAGUCAAGACAUCGUUAGUCAACGAUAAACAGCACACUUACUGAAAGUAAAAAUAAGUAUUUAUUGUAGAAAUUACUCACAAGAGACCAACAAGUAACCCAGAUAUCUCCAUUGGAGCUUCAUUCAAUUGCCUGGACUACUCACUGCCUGACAGCUGCUGCUGCAUCCUCCAGCCCUCCUAUUCUUCAGCGUCCCAGCAAAGCUCCUAAUUUUCGGCAAAGCACAUGCCACUUCCAGGCUAAAAGCGUGCGCUGGCCCUUAUUCGGCACCUGCAAUGGGAUCAGCUUACCAGGACACAUGUGUGCCGACCACCUGUGCGCGGUGCUCGCGGAAGUCGGAAGAGGGCAUCAGGCCCACUCAGAGUUAGAUGGCGUCGAGCUGCCGUGUGGAUGACGUGGACCAAACCGGGGUCCUCUCUCUCUAAGAGCAGCAAGAGCUCUUAAUCACUGAAACGCGUCUCUAGCCCCUCGCCGUUUUCUUGCCAUUCACGAUACUCUUUUGUGCUGUGGGUCCAUCACUGGUAAGGUCAAGAUGUUUUUAACCUUUAGGUUAUGUGUUCUUGCUCCACGUUUUAGGACUUCUUUCUUCAGUCCAUAUGCCCAUAGCCCAGUCUGGUGUCGGUUAGACUAAAGGUAAAUUACCGGGGCUUCUGUUUAUCCGUAUACCCCUCUGACACCUUUGGAGCGCAUAGAACACAAGCUCAUGACAGACAAUGGUUCCAUUCUGAGUUACAGACGUUCACUGUAAAGCCAGAGUUUAUCAAUGUGCUAAGAAACCGCUGGUUUUUUUUUUUUUUUUUGCGAUGGUGGUCUUUGUAUCCGUUUAGGACAGCUUACGUGUGACUCUCCUUAUUGACCUGCAUUCACAGGAGAAACAAAGGGAGUAGAAACAGUUGAGCGGGGGUGGAGGGAGGUGGGGGUGGGGGGAAGAGCGUGCCUCGCCUGGUGACAGGGAUUGUUGCCCAAGAUGUUCUAUGCCUUUGCUCACUUUACUUAUGUCACAGGUAUUCAUCAUUCAGCAUGCAAACAAAGUUCAGAACCAGGAGAUCUGGGGCAGUGGUCCCCACCGCGUUGUACAAGGUGAUACCAAGGGAGGGGAACACCUGUUGAUGUUUCUCAUUUUAACAGAUGCACAUUUAUGUUAGCAUUCACCAGAAACAAUAUAAUUGGCAAAGGA
Mesocricetus auratus (golden hamster) is the source of this 12075-nucleotide long non-coding RNA. RefSeq lists it as uncharacterized. The record is from RefSeq and is a predicted model, not a curated record. Lineage: Eukaryota; Metazoa; Chordata; Mammalia; Rodentia; Cricetidae. The transcript is spliced from 11 exons.